GUCACCCGGCACGUGCGCCGGGGGCCGGCCGGACCGUGAGGGGCGGGGUGCCCACGGGCCGGCGGAGCCCGACCCGACCCCGGCCCGACCGGGAACGGGGCCCGGCCUCUCCCGGCGCCUGGCGGGGCCGCCUCGGCCAGGAUCGGCCUUUCCAGGCCCCGCUCGCUUGGGACCUCCUCAGGGGAGCCCUGCCUGACUGCCAGCCUCCCGUCCCUCCUCACUGCAUGAUGGCUGUGGAAAGACAAAGCAGAGCUGCAGAGAGGACACCCACCUCAGGGCCUUCAUUGCUGAAAUGUCAACAUCCCCUGCAGCUCUCUGUGGUUUGGGGCCCUUUUGUGCGACAGAUGUUUUCAAGUUCAUUUAGAGAUUUAUAACCUUUGGGCCAGAAGAUAAUCCAAGGCAGGCAUGGAGCAAGCCCUCAUCUUCACGCCUUUCCUGCCUGAGAGACUGGACAGCAAUGCAGGGCACCGAGGCUGGACGAGUGCGUUGUGCGCCGCCGCGGGCGGCCGCUGGGCCUCACUUUCUGCUCUCCCACCAUCGGGCUGUGGCGUAACUCACAGUGGUUUCACCAAAGACAUUUCCUAGUUAAAAAAAUGGAAUCAGUGUGGGCAGAAGGGCAAAACCCGUUAUAUGUUUAUUUUUAAUAAAGUCGGCACA
Molecule: long non-coding RNA, 657 nt
Organism: Pteronotus mesoamericanus
Lineage: Eukaryota; Metazoa; Chordata; Mammalia; Chiroptera; Mormoopidae
Exons: 3
Source: RefSeq, a predicted model, not a curated record